UAUAUUUAAGUAUUUUUGUACGAAAGUUUUUGAAACUUUAAGAAGUAAGCAAGUCUUGCUAAAUAUAA
This 68-nucleotide transfer RNA is filed under the name Cucujoidea sp. 42 KM-2017. RNAcentral's name for it is "tRNA-Gln". The record is from RNAcentral. Lineage: Eukaryota; Metazoa; Arthropoda; Insecta; Coleoptera.